UACGAGGGGGGCGAGCGUUGUUCGGAAUUAUUGGGCGUAAAGGGCGCGUAGGCGGCCUUGCAAGUGGAAGGUGAAAUCCCUCGGCUUAACCGAGGAACUGCCUUCCAGACUGCUAGGCUUGAGACCGGGAGAGGUGAGUGGAAUUCCCAGUGUAGCGGUGAAAUGCGUAGAUAUUGGGAGGAACACCAGUGGCGAAGGCGGCUCACUGGACCGGUACUGACGCUGAUGCACGAAAGCGUGGGGAGCAAACGGG
RNAcentral lists this ribosomal RNA (253 nucleotides) under uncultured bacterium. RNAcentral describes it as "partial 16S ribosomal RNA". It matches the Rfam family "Bacterial small subunit ribosomal RNA", at positions 524 to 776 of the family's 1533-position model. The record is from RNAcentral.